UACGAAGGGGGCUAGCGUUGUUCGGAUUUACUGGGCGUAAAGCGCGUGUAGGCGGGUCGUUAAGUUGGGGGUGAAAGCCCGGAGCUCAACUCCGGAACUGCCUUCAAAACUGGCGACCCGGAGCAUGUCAGAGGCGAGUGGAAUUGCGAGUGUAGAGGUGAAAAUCGUAGAUAUUCGCAGGAACACCAGUGGCGAAGGCGACUCGCUGGGACAUUGCUGGCGAUGAGACGCGAAAGCGUGGGGAGCAAACAGG
This 253-nucleotide ribosomal RNA is filed under the name uncultured bacterium. RNAcentral's name for it is "partial 16S ribosomal RNA". It matches the Rfam family "Bacterial small subunit ribosomal RNA", at positions 524 to 776 of the family's 1533-position model. The record is from RNAcentral.